This 1080-nucleotide long non-coding RNA is filed under the name Nicotiana benthamiana. RNAcentral describes it as "long non-coding RNA (NBEN_LNC038871)". Lineage: Eukaryota; Viridiplantae; Streptophyta; Magnoliopsida; Solanales; Solanaceae. The record is from RNAcentral.
GGAAGGUAAAUUAUUAAAAUAACGCGCCUAAAGCAACUACGCGUUUUCGGCUUUGCAAGGGCCAUGGAGAAUUUGCUAAAUGGUGCACCUCGAUUCUAAGGAUAAACAAAAUUAAUUAAAUGAGGGUCAUGCAAUUGUCAUUUUUGUUUGGCACAGUGCACCUCAAUUCCAAUUUUAAAAAGAAAAUUCAAACUAAAGUUCGAAGGGCCAUAAGCCAUGUCUUGCCUAAUAUAGCACACCUCCAAUCUAUUUUUGAAAGCCCAAUGAAUUAAUUAGCCCAUUCUCAAACCCAACUUCAAUUUACUCCAAGAUCAUCCAACAGUCUAAAUCUAGUUCAAGACCAGUCACUAACACAAUUCAGUGAUAGCUGCUUGUAAGGAAUUACUGACUUCUUCAACCAAUUAGGCAUCAUCAAAGAAUUGUACCAAACCAACUAAUAACAACUGUAGCACAAAUGAAACCAACAGAUAUUUUUCAGAACCCAUUUCAAAUCCACUCCAGUUUGGAAACCAAAACCAAAGAACAAUUUAGUUUUCAGUAGGCAUCUGAGUUCGAGAUAAAAAACGAAGCGAAGAUCCACUCAAAAAAUCAUAAAUAUAGAGUCAGAAUCGAACGACAGAACCACCAUUUUUCUUCGAUCAAUUUUCUGCCCAGAUUUUCUCUUUUUUUCGUCUGUUCUUGAGUGUGUGCUGCUGCUUUCGGCGUGAGGGAGGCGGAGUGAGGUCCGGUGACUGUUGUUGUUGAAGCAGGCAAGUCGAUGGGAUGGGGGUCAUCUUUUGUGUCAACGGCAGGUCUAAAGUCUUAAGCUCCUUGGGGUCUCUCAUGGUUGAAGCUCAAGGUCAAAUGGUUAUUGGCAUUUUUGAGAAGAUGAGAUCGGGGGCGGAGGGGGGGGGUUCGUUUUGAAAGGCUGCGCAGCUUUUUUCUCUUUUCAAUCCUCCCAGCCUUAUUUUCCUCCUCCUCACUUUUGGCUAAUUAGCUUUCCUAUAUGUGGAGUCUAAGUUUAGGUUAUUAUUUGGUGUAUUUUGUUAGUUAGUUCUUAAAUUUUUUUAUAUUAAAUUUUUAGGAUUUUUUUAUUUAUUU